AGUGAACGCUGGCGGCAUGCCUAACACAUGCAAGUCGAACGGCAGCACAGUAAGAGCUUGCUCUUACGGGUGGCGAGUGGCGGACGGGUGAGGAAUACACCGGAAUCUACUUUUUCGUGGGGGAUAACGUAGGCAAAUUUACGCUAAUACCGCAUACGACCUAAGGGUGAAAGCAGGGGAUCUUCGGACCUUUCGCGAUUGAAUGAGCCGAUGUCGGAUUAGCUAGUUGGCGGGGUAAAGGCCCACCAAGGCGACGAUCCGUAGCUGGUCUGAGAGGAUGAUCAGCCACACUGGAACUGAGACACGGUCCAGACUCCUACGGGAGGCAGCAGUGGGGAAUAUUGGACAAUGGGCGCAAGCCUGAUCCAGCCAUGCCGCGUGGGUGAAGAAGGCCUUCGGGUUGUAAAGCCCUUUUGUUGGGAAAGAAAAGCAUCAGGUUAAUACGCCGCUGUUAUGACGGUACCCGAAGAAUAAGCACCGGCUAACUUCGUG
Molecule: ribosomal RNA, 492 nt
Filed under: uncultured bacterium
Lineage: Bacteria
Description: partial 16S ribosomal RNA
Rfam family: Bacterial small subunit ribosomal RNA
Source: RNAcentral